CCAGCCGCCUUCGGCCGGCAGGGUCGCAGCUGUGAGUUUGGCCUUGGAAAGGAGGAAUGAAAUGAGAGGUGGGGAAAUCUGUUGGAGCGAGAGGACAUGCAGGAUAGACGUUAGGAAGGACAGGAGGAGAUCGCGGGUGACCAAGGGCACAUUGAAAGGCCCACGCAAACCUGGUGGCCGAGUGACAACAGUACUUUGGGGGAGCCUCGCAGAGGUUUGUGGAAGGUCUCUGAGGUGUCUCCCCCUCUCGUGGUGGGGGCAGCAGGGAAGCGACGUAUGAAGCAGGAGUUAUCAAGAAAGGGCCCGAAAGCUGUCCUCUGCUGGAGGGUAAUCUCUGCACCCGACGUGGGGCUCAAACUCACGACCCCGAGAUCAAGGGCUGGAGGUUCUUCCGACCGAGCCGGCCAGUAGCCUCAGAGAGACAGAGCGUGAGCAGGGGAGGGGCAGAGAGAGA
Molecule: long non-coding RNA, 454 nt
Organism: Lynx canadensis (Canada lynx)
Lineage: Eukaryota; Metazoa; Chordata; Mammalia; Carnivora; Felidae
Exons: 4
Source: RefSeq, a predicted model, not a curated record